UAGGUGAAAUCAAGUAGCCAAUUUUAUUUUUUGAUGCAUGGACAUCCAGUACUGCACUUCAGAGUCACACUGCUAGCAAUCGAUGCAGCGAUUCUGUACUGUACAGGAGAGACGUCACGGAGGAGAUCGUCUGCAGCGAUCAGGACGCAGGACACAAUGUGACGUAAAAAUAAGCAUGAAAACUUGCACUAAAAAAUCCGCAAAACAGCGAGGUGAAAGGUGAACCACGUUAUAACGAGGGACCACUGUAAUUUUGAAGCCAACAGUAGUGCAGUUUCCACCAGGACCCUGUUGGCCAAAAGUACUGGAGGCAGUCAUUAACCUGGCUCUCGACUGAUCUGCUUAUCACACAUUUGAUUUCCAUGUGUGACAACUGCAAGUGUCCAGAGUGAGGACAGACAGAGGGACCCACUGCUGCACAUCAUCUGCGAGGCUUUGCACCCCUGAUGAUCCACCAGGACAAACUCAGCAGUGUGUGAGGAAGCGGAGGAGGAAGAGUCAGCAGCAGCUGACAGAUGGAGAGAAUAGACAGACUGUGAAGGACUGCUAGAAAAGUUUAAAAUAACUCAUUGUCUGUCCUGAAU
Oreochromis aureus is the source of this 584-nucleotide long non-coding RNA. The record is from Ensembl. Lineage: Eukaryota; Metazoa; Chordata; Actinopteri; Cichliformes; Cichlidae.